GACGAACGCUGGCGGCGUGCCUAAUACAUGCAAGUUGAGCGCUGAAGGUUGGUACUUGUACCAACUGGAUGAGCAGCGAACGGGUGAGUAACGCGUGGGGAAUCUGCCUUUGAGCGGGGGACAACAUUUGGAAACGAAUGCUAGUACCGCAUAAAAACUUUAAACACAAGUUUUAAGUUUGAAAGAUGCAAUUGCAUCACUCAAAGAUGAUCCCGCGUUGUAUUAGCUAGUUGGUGAGGUAAAGGCUCACCAAGGCGAUGAUACAUAGCCGACCUGAGAGGGUGAUCGGCCACAUUGGGACUGAGACACGGCCCAAACUCCUACGGGAGGCAGCAGUAGGGAAUCUUCGGCAAUGGACGAAAGUCUGACCGAGCAACGCCGCGUGAGUGAAGAAGGUUGUCGGAUCGUAAAACUCGGUUGGUAGAGAAGAACGUUGGUGAGAGUGGAAAGCUCAUCAAGUGACGGUAACUACCCAGAAAGGGACGGCUAACUACGUG
This 497-nucleotide ribosomal RNA is filed under the name uncultured bacterium. RNAcentral describes it as "partial 16S ribosomal RNA". It matches the Rfam family "Bacterial small subunit ribosomal RNA", at positions 28 to 507 of the family's 1533-position model. The record is from RNAcentral.